GAUCCUGGCCCAGGAUGAACGCUAGCUACAGGCUUAACACAUGCAAGUCGAGGGGCAGCAUGGUCUUAGCUUGCUAAGGCUGAUGGCGACCGGCGCACGGGUGAGUAACACGUAUCCAACCUGCCGUCUACUCUUGGCCAGCCUUCUGAAAGGAAGAUUAAUCCAGGAUGGGGAUCAUGAGUUCACAUGUCCGCAUGAUUAAAGGUAUUUUCCGGUAGACGAUGGGG
Molecule: ribosomal RNA, 227 nt
Filed under: uncultured bacterium
Lineage: Bacteria
Description: partial 16S ribosomal RNA
Rfam family: Bacterial small subunit ribosomal RNA
Source: RNAcentral